UGGGGAAUAUUGCGCAAUGGGCGAAAGCCUGACGCAGCAACGCCGCGUGAGCGAUGAAGGCCUUCGGGUUGUAAAGCUCUUUCGGUUGGGAAGAAGGGUGUACGGGCAAACAGUCCGUGCAUUUGAUGGUACCAAAAGAAGAAGCACCGGCUAACUUCGUGCCAGCAGCCGCGGUAAUACGAAGGGUGCGAGCGUUGUUCGGAAUAACUGGGCGUAAAGGGUUCGUAGGCGGGAGUGUAAGUCACGUGUGAAAUCCCCAGGCUCAACCUGGGACGUGCACGUGAAACUGCGUUUCUUGAAUCUUGGAGAGGGUGAUGGAAUUGCUGGUGUAGGAGUGACAUCCGUAGAGAUCAGCAGGAACACCGGAGGCGAAGGCGAUCACCUGGCCAUAGAUUGACGC
RNAcentral lists this ribosomal RNA (400 nucleotides) under uncultured bacterium. RNAcentral's name for it is "bacterial SSU rRNA". It matches the Rfam family "Bacterial small subunit ribosomal RNA", at positions 355 to 746 of the family's 1533-position model. The record is from RNAcentral.